UUUCCCUGUUUUAAUCCUCUGAGGGUGGGGCUUCAGGAGCACCAGCUACACUAAUUGUUUCAUCCUCUCCAGUUCCAGUUUCUCUACUUAAGGAGAUAAUACAUGUUCUUUGUGGAACAGUGAAAAAUAGAGACGAGCACAAAGAAUACAAAUCACGCAGGGAUUCGAUCCUGUCAUCUACAGAUCACUUCUGUAUAUACAGUGCUGGAGAGCUUUGUUUUAGUUUUAUAUUCAUUAAUACAAUGCUAUAUCCACAUAUUAUAUUUGUGUAUGUAUUAUAUAUACAUGUAUAUAUAUAUUUUAGCAAGAAAUAGAAUUCUAGCGUCUUUUUUUAUUUACUUAACACUGUGAACAUCUUAUCAAGCCAUUAGUCUUUUUUUAAUUAAUAAAUUUGAGUUUGUUAAGAGUAGUUUUAUGUCACAGCAAAAUUAAGUGGAAUGUCCAGACAGUUCCCAUAUGCCACGCCCCGUCCCCUGGAUUGCUCUCCCCAUCCUCAGCCUCCCCUACAAUCAGCAUCCCCACGAGAGUGGUAUAUGUGUUAAAAAUUAAUGAAGCUGGCCGGGCGCAGUAGCUCAUGCCUGUAAUCCCAGCACUUUGGGAGGCCGAGGUGGCCAGAUCACCUGAGGCCAGGAGUUUGAGACCAGCCUGGCCAACAUGGUGAAACCACACCUCUACUAAAACUACAAAAAUUAGCUGGGUGUGGUGGUGCAUGCCUGUAGUCCCAGCUACUCGGGAGGCUGAGGCAGAAGAAACACUUGAACCUGGGAGGCAGAGGUUACAGUGAACCAAGAUCAUGCCACUGCACUCCAGCCUGGGCAACAGAGUGAGACUCUGUCUCAAAAACAAACAAACAAAAAAAAUUAAUAGAGCUACAUUGAUACCUCUUUAUUACCCAAAGUUCAUAGUUUUCAUUAGGUUUAAUUCUUUGUAUUAGGCUGUUCUUGUAUUGCUAUAAACACUUGAGACUGGGUAAUUUAUAAAGAAAAGAGGUUGAAUUGGCUCACAGUUCUGCAGGCUGUACAGGAAGCAUGGUGCUGACAUCUGCUUGGUUUCUUGGGAGGCCUCAGGGAGCUUCCAAUCAUGGUGGAAGGUGAAGAGGCAACAGGCACAUCACAUGGCCAGAACAGGAGCAAGAGAGAGUGCGGAGGGAGGAGCCACGCAGUUUUAAAUGACCAGAGCUUGUGUGAACUCAGAGCUUGUGUGAAGUCAUUUAUCACCAAGGGACGGCCCGAGCCAUGCCUGAGGGAUCUUCCCCCAUGAUUCAAACGCCUCCCACCAGGUCCCAUCUCUGACACCGAGGAUUACAUUUUAACAUGAGAUUUGGGCGGGGACAAAUAUUCAAACUAUAUCGCUUUUGGUGUUGUACAUUCAAUGGGUGUGGACAAAUGCAUAACAACAAGUCUUCACCAUGAUAGUAUCAC
RNAcentral lists this long non-coding RNA (1421 nucleotides) under Homo sapiens (human). RNAcentral's name for it is "HSALNT0299568". The record is from RNAcentral. Lineage: Eukaryota; Metazoa; Chordata; Mammalia; Primates; Hominidae.